Nicotiana tabacum (common tobacco) is the source of this 1147-nucleotide long non-coding RNA. RefSeq lists it as uncharacterized. NCBI's taxonomy places the organism in Eukaryota, Viridiplantae, Streptophyta, Magnoliopsida, Solanales, Solanaceae. The record is from RefSeq and is a predicted model, not a curated record.
UGGACCUUCUUUUUAGGAAGUUGUUUGGUGAAUAGAUUUGAGAUUUGCUGAAAUUUUCUUUUGAUUAAAAUUGUAGCGUUACGUGAAUAUGUCCUUGUUUUUGGAAUUUCAUCCUCAUUAUAGAAUCUUAGGAUGGAAUUCUUCGAGAAAGCAAAAUCCAUCAGGCUAAAAAGCCACCACGGGAAAUUCUUACAUGCCAAUUCCAAUCAAGAAACAGUGCACCAACAUCGUCAUGGAACAUCUAAGACUGCAAAAUGGACAGUUGAAUUUCCUAAAGGAAUCAAUAAUAAUGUUGUACGUUUGAAUAGUUGUUAUGGCAAAUAUCUAAUGGCCACAGAUGAACAAUUUCUUCUUGGUGUAACGGGUCUUAAAGUUGUUCAAAGUUUGCCCAAAAAUUUGGAUUCCUCAAUUGAAUGAGAACCUGUUAAUGUUGGAUCUUUAGUGAAGCUCAAAACAAAAUAUGGGAAAUUUUUAAGGGCAAAUAGUGGAUUACCCCCUUUUAGAAAUUCAAUUACACAUGACAUACCUUAUAGACAUCAAGAUUGGAUCUUAUGGGAAAUAGAUAUUAUUGAGUUACUGCCCGGCGCAACAAUAAUAACAACUAUAUCUCAAUCCCAAUCAAGUAAAGAGUUACUGCCCGAACCACAGAAAAAAUUAUUAGAUGGUGAUUUGAGCUCAUCUUUUCGUCUUACGUUUUCCAGUCAAAAUUUGAUGCUGCUAUGACAAAGCCCGAAGGUCGGCUGAUCUAUUAUUAUGUGGCAGAUGAGAAGGGAACUGUGAAUGAUGAAGUGAAAGGACCUUCAUUUCAGUUCAAAGGGCAAGUGCUAGAGGAACUAACUCAAAAGUUAGAGGAAGAAACAGGGCUCAAGAAUAUUACAUUGUGUUUGCGCAACAAAAUAAAUGGGAAUUUAUGUCCUCUUAAGUUAGAAUUACCACCCAACAAUGCAACCAUGGAUGUUGUGGUAGUACCUUAGCUUCAUCUGCAUCUAAAGCAAAGAGAAUAGGUAGCAGAUAUUCCCGCGUCCAAAUGGUCGGUGGUCAACAUUCUAUUCAUGAAAUUUUGCCAUUACAAGCUAUCAUGCAUGUGAAUUCACGCUGAAACUGUAAAUAAUUUUUAAUUUAACCUUUAACUAGUUACUAACUGUUU